This 3292-nucleotide long non-coding RNA is filed under the name Homo sapiens (human). Its description in RNAcentral is "HSALNT0223022". The record is from RNAcentral. Lineage: Eukaryota; Metazoa; Chordata; Mammalia; Primates; Hominidae.
AGCAUGGUGGUGGGUGCCUGCAAUCCUAGCUACUCAAGAGGCUGAGGUUCGAGAAUCGUUUGAACUUGGGAGGCAGAGGUUGCAGUGAGCCGAGAUCGUGCCAGUGAACUCCAGCCUGGGUGACAGUGUGAGACUCCGUCUCAAAAAAAUAUAGUGUAUAGAAAUAUGAUAGAUUUUUAUAUAAUUAUUUUGAAUCCUGUGACUUUACUAAUUCACCACUUAUCAUUAGUUCUAGUACACUUUUUGGUAGAUUCUCUGGGAUUUUGUGCAUAGAAAAUGAUUUCAUUUGCAAAUACUGAGAGCUUACUUCUUCCUCUUCAAUCUGCAUUCCUUUGAUUUCUUUCAUUUUUCUUUUUUUGCUUAACUGAACUUGCUAUGACUACCUUGUCUUGUUCUCAAUUUUAGGAAGAAAGCAUUCACUUUUUCACCAUUAAGUGUUACAUCAGCUCUAUGAUAGUUAUCUUUGCCCUUUACUAGGCUGAGGAAAUUCCUUCAAUUCCUAGUUUGCUGAGAUUAUUUAUUAUGAAUUAAUGCAGUAUCUAACCACUGAGUAAUUAUAUGGGUCAUAUGGGGUUUUUAAUUUUUUUUUUCUCUUUUUUCUUUUCUUUUCUUUUUUUUUUUUUUUUUUUUUGAGACAGAGUCUCACUCUGUCGCCCAGGCUGGAGUGCAAUGGCACAACCUCCACCUCCUGGGUUCGAGAGAUUCUUGGGCCUCAACAUGCCCCAGAGUAGCUGGGAUUACAGGUGUGUGCCACCGCACCUGGCUAAUUUUUUUAUUUGUUUUUUCAGUAGAGACAGGAUUUCACCACUUUGGCCAGGCUGGUCUGUCUCAAACUCCUAACCUGAAGUGAUCUGCCUGUCUUAGCCUCCCAUUCAUUUAAUUUAUUGAUAUGGUGAAUUGCAUUGAUUCAUUCUGAAGAUUAAAACAACCUUGAAUUUUUGGGAUAAAACCUACUUUCAUAAUGCAUUAUCCUUUUUACAUAUUGCUGGUUUUGAUUUGCCAAUAUUUUCUUGAAGAUUUUUUUGUCUAUGCCUGUAGUUUUCUUUCUUGUAAUCUAUUUGACUUGUUUUGAUAUCACAAUACUACUAAUUUUAUAAAAUGAGUUGGGAAGUGUUAAAUCUUCUUUUAUUUCCUGGCAUAAUUUGUGCAGAACUGAUAUUAUUAAAUAUUUCCUUGGUAGUAUUAAUUUUGUUUUUUUUUGGUAGAGAUGGGGUCCUUGCUAUGCUGCCCAGGCUGGUCUCAAACUCUUGGCCUCAAGUGAUCCUCUCACUUUGGCUUCUCAUAGUGCUGGGAUUACAGGUGUGAACCACUGCACCUGGCCAAUCUAUUAUUUUCUCAAGUGAGCUUUGGUAGUUGAGAUGAGGUUGUGGAGUCAGACAAGCUUAGCUGUACCACUAAAUAGUCAUUUGAUACUGGACAAUUAACUUUGAGAAUGAUAUCCUCAUAUAUAAAAUGGAAAUAUUAAUAACAAGAGCUAUGUCAAACAGAUUUGUAAGGUUUAAAGAUAAUCCGUAUUCCGUUGAAUGAAUAUUUGUGUCCUCCUCAAAAUUCUUAUGCUGAAACCUAAUCCCCAAUGUGUUGUCAUUUUGAGGUGGAGCCUUUGGCAGGUGAUUAUAUCCUGAGGACAGAGACCUCAUGCAUGGGACUAGUAAGAAUCCUUAUAAAGGAGACUCCAGAGAGCUCACUUGCCCCUUCUGCCAUGUGAGGACACAGUGAAAAGACACCAUCUAUGAACCAGAAAGCAGAUGCACUCACCAGAUACUAAAUAUGCUGGUACUUUGGGACUCCCCAGCCUUCAGAACCAUGAGAAAUAAAUUUCUGUUGUUUUCAAGCCACCCAGUUUAGGCCCAAUGGACUAAGAAUAUUAAAAGUGAAUCUCAAUGUUUCAUAUAUAGUAAGCACUCAGUACACAUUAUUACUACUAUAUUUUAUUUUAUUUUAUUUUAUUUUAAUGUUAAGUUAUUUUUGAGAUGGAGUCUCACUCUGUCACCCAGGAUGGAGUGCAGUGGUGCCAUCUCGGCUCACCGCAGCCUCUGCCUCCUGGUUCAAGUGAUUCUUGUGCCUCAGCUUCCCGAGUCACUGUGCAGAUGUGCACCACCACUUUCGGCUAAGUUUUGUAUUUUUUUUGGUAGAUUCGGGGUUUCACCAUGUUGACUAGGCUGGUCUCAAACUCCUGACCUCAGGUGAUCCUCCUGCCUCGGCCUCCCAAAGUGUUGGGUUACAGGCGUGAGCCAUGGUGCCUGGCCUAUUACUACUAUUGAAAUUUUUUUUUUUUCUGGACAAAUUGCACAUAGGCUUCCCUAUAAAAGGAAAGUUUUCCUAAAUGAAGGCAUUGUAAAUAAUGCUUUAAAGACCUAUCAAGUGUUAUGAGUUUAAGAUUGUAGACAGAGACAGAUAUCAAAUUAUUCUUUGUCUGUAAGAAUAUACUCCCCUACCCACAAAGGCCAUAAUUUUCAGCUAAUGAAAUAAACUUAGAUAAAACUAUUUGACUCAAUCUUAGCAUUACAUAGCUAGAAUGUUACUCUUUAAAUUUUAGCUUCUUUAGUGGCCAUGAUAGUUCACACCAUUAAAAAUCUAAAUUUCUAGUUGUGCAAAUUAGAAAUUCUGUGAAUUGCACAAUUAGAAAUCUGAUUCUAUUCUCUCUUCAAAGUCACGGUAGAUUAUAAAUUUUGGACACAACCAGCUUGGAUGGGGCCAGAAAAAUAUGUAAAUGUAGAUGGUCUGCUAUGUACCUCAUGGAUGUGUUAUAUGAUUUCUGAACUGGGCUAGGUGGGAGAAUCAGUGCAGUUAUUUUACAGUAUAGAGAGAUGAAGUUCUUAUCAAAUCUGUUUCUUGAUAAUAUUAUAAUCUUGAAAACAAACUGGUCUUGAACUCCUGACCUCAGGUGAUCCACCCACCUCGGCCUCCCAAAGUGCUGGAAUUACAGGUGUGAGCCACUACGCCUGGCCCUGAAACAGAUAUAAUUAAAUAGGUACACUUAAAUCAAUAACAGAGAGACAGGGAAAUCUGAUCACUUUCUAUGUAUUAUCUCACCUGCAUAAGUUAACACUUAACACUUUAAUUUCUGCAGUGUUUUAAAAGUUCCUUUCUUCAACAAAAAAAAUUUUUUUUAAAUAGUUGAGAACCAGAAAGAAUUUACUGGAUAUUUUAGAAGGGUGAAUGUGGCCACAUGUCUACCAGUGACAAGGGCACAAAAAAGCUCCAAUAAUGCCACAAGUAGAGGUUUAACCCACAAUUAGAGAUUUUUUUUUAAAGAAAUCACUGUUAAGAUAUAUAUAUACAUAUAUAUACA